GUUUGAUGGGUAAUUGAUGGAGAACAAAGACUCCAGAUCCCUAUUCCUUAAAACUAUGUUUGGAUGGUGAAAUGGGAAUGGAAUAAGCUAGUUAUUCUAUCUUAUUUCAUGUUUUGUUCACAACCAAAGACUCCUACUUGGCCAUUUAGUAUAGGCCAAUUUUGUCCCCAAAAAAAAAAUCUACCUCAAGGUCCCCAGAACCAUGCGGUGAAUGAACUCGAGGUUCCAGAGCUUCCUGGC
RNAcentral lists this long non-coding RNA (240 nucleotides) under Phoenix dactylifera (date palm). Its description in RNAcentral is "long non-coding RNA (PDAC_LNC005641)". The record is from RNAcentral. Lineage: Eukaryota; Viridiplantae; Streptophyta; Magnoliopsida; Arecales; Arecaceae.